AUGUUUAGUAUUGGUGGCAGAGUUCUCACAUCUCACAGGAGUUCAUUAGCUCCAGAUCUUGUUGAAGCUUUGCUUUGUUUGGGUGAUUGGCUGCCAGAUCUCACUCUCAGUGAGAGCAAUAGUUGUGUUACUGAAGUUGAGGACUAAGGAGGAAUGCAGUUGGCAUUGGCAGUGGAGAAUUUGGAGAUGGAGGAAUGCAUUUGCAGUUGCAGAUGCAGUUGGCAUCCCUUUGUCUUUUCUUUUGCAAAAACUUGGUUUUUUUCUUUUGAUAGAACAUGUGAUGAUCUGAACAUGUAAUUUGGUUUAGAACAUGAACAUCUGUAUGUUUUUUUUCUGUGUGUCAUGGAUUUAGAACUUGUUUGCUUGGAUUUAGAACUAUUCUAUGUAAUUGGUUUGUGUUUUAAA
Molecule: long non-coding RNA, 405 nt
Organism: Papaver somniferum (opium poppy)
Lineage: Eukaryota; Viridiplantae; Streptophyta; Magnoliopsida; Ranunculales; Papaveraceae
Exons: 2
Source: RefSeq, a predicted model, not a curated record